Molecule: ribosomal RNA, 327 nt
Filed under: uncultured beta proteobacterium 222ev
Lineage: Bacteria; Pseudomonadati; Pseudomonadota; Betaproteobacteria
Description: bacterial SSU rRNA
Rfam family: Bacterial small subunit ribosomal RNA
Source: RNAcentral
GAGUUUGAUCCUGGCUCAGAUUGAACGCUGGCGGCAUGCCUUACACAUGCAAGUCGAACGGCAGCACGGGAGCAAUCCUGGUGGCGAGUGGCGAACGGGUGAGUAAUAUAUCGGAACGUGCCCAGUCGUGGGGGAUAACGCAGCGAAAGCUGUGCUAAUACCGCAUACGAUCUAUGGAUGAAAGCGGGGGACUCGCAAGGGCCUCGCGCGAUUGGAGCGGCCGAUAUCAGAUUAGCUAGUUGGUGGGGUAAAGGCCUACCAAGGCGACGAUCUGUAGCUGGUCUGAGAGGACGACCAGCCACACUGGAACUGAGACACGUCCAGAUC